ACUUUAACAGAACCCUUCGGGGCGAAGAUAAAGUGGAUUAGCGGCGGACGGGUGAGUAACACGUGAGUAACCUGCCUUAGACAUUGGGAUAGCCUCGGGAAACCGGGAUUAAUACCAAAUAAAAUCAUAAUGACACAUGUCAUAACGAUCAAAACUCCGGUGGUCUAAGAUGGACUCGCGUCCCAUUAGCUAGUUGGUAGAGUAAAAGCCUACCAAGACGACGAUGGGUAGCCGGCCUGAGAGGGUGAACGGCCACAUUGGAACUGAGAAACGGUCCAAACUCCUACGGGAGGCAGCAGUGGGGAAUAUUGCACAAUGGAGGGAACUCUGAUGCAGCGACGCCGCGUGAACGAAGAAGGCUUUCGAGUCGUAAAGUUCUUUUAUAUGGGAAGAUAAUGACGGUACCAUAAGAAAAAGCCCCGGCUAACUACGUGCCAGCAGCCGCGGUAAUACGUAGGGGGCUAGCGUUGUCCGGAAUCACUGGGCGUAAAGGGUUCGCAGGCGGAAAUGCAAGUCAGAUGUAAAGGCAGUAGCUUAACUACUGUAAGCAUUUGAAACUGCAUAUCUUGGGAAGAGUAGAGGUAAGUGGAAUUUUUAGUGUAGCGGUGAAAUGCGUAGAUAUUAAAAAGAAUACCGGUGGCGAAGGCGACUUACUGGGCUCAUU
This 664-nucleotide ribosomal RNA is filed under the name uncultured Eubacteriales bacterium. RNAcentral describes it as "bacterial SSU rRNA". It matches the Rfam family "Bacterial small subunit ribosomal RNA", at positions 66 to 739 of the family's 1533-position model. The record is from RNAcentral. Lineage: Bacteria; Bacillati; Bacillota; Clostridia; Eubacteriales.